Molecule: ribosomal RNA, 429 nt
Filed under: Pseudomonadota bacterium
Lineage: Bacteria; Pseudomonadati; Pseudomonadota
Description: Proteobacteria bacterium partial 16S ribosomal RNA
Rfam family: Bacterial small subunit ribosomal RNA
Source: RNAcentral
UGGGGAAUAUUGGACAAUGGGCGAAAGCCUGAUCCAGCCAUGCCGCGUGUGUGAAGAAGGUCUUCGGAUUGUAAAGCACUUUAAGUUGGGAGGAAGGGCAGUAAGCGAAUACCUUGCUGUUUUGACGUUACCGACAGAAUAAGCACCGGCUAACUCUGUGCCAGCAGCCGCGGUAAUACAGAGGGUGCAAGCGUUAAUCGGCAUUACUGGGCGUAAAGCGCGCGUAGGUGGUUCGUUAAGUUGAAUGUGAAAGCCCCGGGCUCAACCUGGGAACUGCAUCCAAAACUGGCGCGCUAGAGUAGGACAGAGGGUGGUGGAAUUUCCUGUGUAGCGGAGAAAUGCGUAGAUAUAGGAAGGAACACCAGUUGCGAAGGCGACCACCUGGGCUCAUACUGACACUGAGGUGCGAAAGCGUGGGGAGCAAACAGG